This 22-nucleotide small nuclear RNA is filed under the name Arabidopsis thaliana (thale cress). Its description in RNAcentral is "snRNA_10454". Lineage: Eukaryota; Viridiplantae; Streptophyta; Magnoliopsida; Brassicales; Brassicaceae. The record is from RNAcentral.
UCGGACGUCUUCGGCGUUCGAA